RNAcentral lists this ribosomal RNA (262 nucleotides) under uncultured bacterium. Its description in RNAcentral is "partial 16S ribosomal RNA". It matches the Rfam family "Bacterial small subunit ribosomal RNA", at positions 524 to 782 of the family's 1533-position model. The record is from RNAcentral.
UACGAAGGGGGCUAGCGUUGUUCGGAUUUACUGGGCGUAAAGCGCACGUAGGCGGAUCGUUAAGUCGGGGGUGAAAUCCUGGAGCUCAACUCCAGAACUGCCUUCGAUACCUGGCGAUCUUGAGUCCGGAAGAGGUGAGUGGAACUCCUAGUGUAGAGGUGGAAUUCGUAGAUAUUAGGAAGAACACCAGUGGCGAAGGCGGCUCACUGGUCCGGUACUGACGCUGAGGUGACGAAAGCGUGGGGAGCAAACAGGAUUGAGA